ACUCUAGUAUUAACCUCAAUCCAUCUGUAUUGAGGUGGAUUGAGGUGUAACUUAAACUAAUUUACAUUUCAAUCCACCUCAACACGCGUGGAUUGAGUUUAAUACUAGA
This 109-nucleotide microRNA precursor is filed under the name Zea mays. RNAcentral describes it as "MIR5565 microRNA precursor family". It matches the Rfam family "MIR5565 microRNA precursor family". The record is from Rfam by way of RNAcentral. Lineage: Eukaryota; Viridiplantae; Streptophyta; Magnoliopsida; Poales; Poaceae.